CCUACGGGAGGCAGCAGUGGGGAAUAUUGCACAAUGGGGGAAACCCUGAUGCAGCGACGCCGCGUGAGCGAAGAAGUCUUUCUGUAUGUAAAGCUCUAUCAGCAGGGAAGAAAAUGACGGUACCUGAGUAAGAAUCUCCGGCUCAAUACGUGCCAGCAGCCGCGGUAAUACGUAUGGAGCCAGCGUUAUCCGGAUUUACUGGGGGUAAAGGGGGCGUAGGCGGGCUGCCAAGUCUGAUGUGAAAUACCGGGGCUCAACCCCGGGGCUGCAGUGGAAACUGGCAGGCUGGAGUGGCGGAGAGGCAGGCGGAAUGCGUAGUGUAGCGGUGAAAUGCGUAGAUAUUAGGAGGAACACCAGUGGCGAAGGCGGCCUGCUGGAGGGUGACUGACGCUGAGGCUCGAAAGCGUGGGGAGCAAACAGGAUUAGAUACCCCAGUAGUC
RNAcentral lists this ribosomal RNA (440 nucleotides) under uncultured bacterium. Its description in RNAcentral is "partial 16S ribosomal RNA". It matches the Rfam family "Bacterial small subunit ribosomal RNA", at positions 338 to 795 of the family's 1533-position model. The record is from RNAcentral.